Molecule: ribosomal RNA, 229 nt
Filed under: uncultured bacterium
Lineage: Bacteria
Description: partial 16S ribosomal RNA
Rfam family: Bacterial small subunit ribosomal RNA
Source: RNAcentral
UGCGUAGGCGGAAUAUUAAGUCAGUGGUGAAAUCCUGCGGCUCAACCGUAGAACUGCCAUUGAUACUGAUAUUCUUGAAUGUAGUUGAGGUAGGCGGAAUGUGUAAUGUAGCGAUGAAAUGCUUAGAUAUUACACAGAACACCGAUUGCGAAGGCAGCUUACUAAACUAUGAUUGACGCUGAGGCACGAAAGCGUGGGGAGCGAACAGGAUUAGAUACCCUGGUAGUCC